Ananas comosus (pineapple) is the source of this 2675-nucleotide long non-coding RNA. RefSeq lists it as uncharacterized. The record is from RefSeq and is a predicted model, not a curated record. NCBI's taxonomy places the organism in Eukaryota, Viridiplantae, Streptophyta, Magnoliopsida, Poales, Bromeliaceae. The transcript has 2 exons.
CAUGGGACCAUCUUCAUGUCGGUCGACCUACUAGCGUUGGAGCUAUUGCCGACAUGGCUGAUUGCCCUUUGGGUUGCCGGUGGACGAACGCCGGCGGGUUACGUUUUAGGGCAAAUGUUAGGACGACAAAUAUUGAGUUCUAUAGAGAUGAGUUAGAUCAGCAGCGAGCGUCUCAGGUACGUAUUAAUGCAACAAUUUUUUUCAAUAUACAACCGUAUUAAUGCAUUUAGCUGACUAUUAUUGGCUUUUUCACAGAUUACAUGGCGGCCGUACACAGAUGCUAUUAUAGAUGUGCUAUCGACAUUCUAUGUACAGGGCAGCGAGGUACGACGAUCGAGGAUGACACUGAUUUGCUUUCAUAUUGUUGAGCUUCACGUGCCCAAUUGAGUCCUACGGCAGUUUGGUCUCCUCCAGCAUAUACCAAUUCACGUGGAGACUAUCCGUCGCAUCACAUCUCAGGAGCGGCCAGAUGAGGAUUGGGUCCACUUUCAUGCUGCACACAUCAAGAGAUAGGGACAGAGAUUACAGGCUAUUAUUGACCAGCAUCCGAUUGUCGGUGAUGACCCGGUACAGGCGACAUCUAUUUAUAUGGAGUGGUAUUGGCAGAUCACGAGAAGAUGGAUUUUUCGUCCAGUACAGCGUCCACCAUUGACUUACCAGCCUCGCGGCCAGACCGAGAGAGCUUUCGUACGAUCACUCAUAUGUUAAUUUUUUUUUAAUCUUAUAUUUAAUUUAAAUUGCAAAUAGUGAGUUCUUAUCUAUAAUGCAGGUCGAUGUAUUACGACAGACUCAAAUGGGCAUCACAGGACUAGUUCAUGAUCGGCCUUCUUACGAUGCGAUGAUGGAGACAUUGAUGAGCAUAGAUGUCCAUAUUGAGUCACUACUGGAGUACAUUCCUUCCAUACCUGUCGCCGCUGAUGUUGGAGGUCGAGAUUUUGGUCAACCCUCGACAUCGGGUCAUCACAGGAGACACUCACCGACAUCGACUGGAUCAUACUCGAGAUCGAGCCUACGAGUGUCACGAUCUCCAUCUCCUAGUGAUGUUGCAGAUAUGCUCACCGCCCCUUCAAGAUUUCCUACCUUGCCAUUGGAUUUGGACUCGCUUCCGCCGCCAGUCUCUCGAGAGCACUUUAGAUUAGUGUACUCUCGACGUCAUGCCGCGUCAUCAUCAUAGGCCCCCCCAGCAUCUACACCGGCCACUAUCGAGGGUGAUCGACUUGAGCCAGAGGAGACUUAGGCGAUUCCGGAGCAUCCCGAGGGCAUUAUCAUUGCGGAUCUCGAUCAGAUGGUCGGUAUCGAGGCACUUGAUGACGUACCUAUUGCUGAGCUCGAUGUACAGGGUGGCCGUAGACGUGGCCGUGGCCGAGGACGUCGAUGGAGAGGAAGAUCGAGAGACUGAUUGUAUAUUUUUGAUUUAGAGAGCAUACUUUGUAUAAUAUUAUAAAUACUUUAUUUAGUUCAAUUUGUAUAUUUGUCUGUGUUUUGUUUGAUAUUUUUAUCCGGUUGAUUGUAUUUUGUUAUUCCACUUGUGAUGUUGUGUUUUUUGUUGGAAUAUUUGUUAUCGUGAAAAUACUUGCCUCAAACUUGUUCAAAUUGAUUUUAAAAUCGAGCUGAAAAAUAUCACCUGCUGCUGUUUGCACUAAAGGCGGUGAACCAUUCACCGCCUUUAGUGCAAAUCCCCCACAGCCGCAAAAAAAUUGGCUAAGUCCUGAACUGGGGGCUGUUUGCACUAAAGACGGUGAAUGGUUCACUGCCUUUAGUGCAGCCAUGAUAAGACGGUGAACCAUUCACCGUCUUAUCUGUACUUUAGCUCGGAUUCGAGUACUUAGCUAAAUUAGGCUGGGUGGGAGUUUUACUCUAAAGACGGUGAACGAUUUACCGUCUUAUGUAGGUGCUGGCUCGAGCACCAAGGGCAUUGUGAAGGCACGCGGCAAGGGCAUUAAGAAGGCGGUGAAUGGUUCACGUUUAAAGAAGGUGGUAAACCAUUCACCGUCUUCUCGAGAGUAUUAUAGAAGGCGGUGAACCAUUUACCGUAUUCAUGAGUCAUAUGCAAAGACGGUGAAAGAUUCACCGUCUUUGCGAGAAAAAUCUGAGGUGGCACCGACGUGGCGAAAGGAGGAUUAAUUUUACAAAUAAAAUUUUCAGAGGGUCAUUUUGCCAAUUACAAAAUUCUACAGGAUCAUUUUCAAAAAAAGCCCGUAAAUAGAGAACAUGCUUUGUCAAAUCAGUCUACAGUGUAUAGUUCUGUUUUUUUUUCUUUUCUUCUCUUCUCUUUCCUUUUUGCUGUAAAUGCUGAAUUGUUCUGCAAAUAAAUUUGACAGAUGGUCUUUGAAUCCUUUUCAGAUUAUUUAUGGCCUUUUUGAAUAUAUGAUUAUCUCGCUCACACCAUCCUUUUUUUAUCCUUUUUUGUUUGCGCAAGAAACAAGUGUUGAUUUGUGGACGUGAGAAAAUGUUUAUUAUUAGGAAUACAUUAUAAGAAAAAUCAUGAUGAUAAGACCUCGCACUUUGGCGGCCAAAGGUUUAUUUGUUUCUUGGAAGCUGAAGUUCGGGUUGAAGCAGAUUCUCGGAUGAAUUGCUUUUCUUUCGUUAUUGGUUUCUAUAGUUAUGGAAUUGACGUUCCUUCAAAUUUGCUAUUUAUUUGGUAAAAAGUGAAUGACAUGAAAGCUAAAGUUUUA